Pelobates cultripes (western spadefoot toad) is the source of this 3425-nucleotide non-coding RNA. The record is from the annotation of a GenBank genome assembly. NCBI's taxonomy places the organism in Eukaryota, Metazoa, Chordata, Amphibia, Anura, Pelobatidae.
ACUGUGCAAUAUGAACAUUAGAGAAAACGGCUACAAACAUAUGGAUACAAAUUCGGAAUGAACAGUAACUGCCAAGCUGAGAGGCUUGCCAACAUCACAACCCUAGAGCGAGGCUUGGAACACAAGGAAGUAAAGCUACAGCUCAAGAUAAUUUCAAUCUGACGGCACUCCAGGUGAGAGUGUCCGACCGAUCUGUUAAUCCUUUUUUUUUUCAAAUUAGUUUUUUUUUUUUCUCUUGUAUCUUUAUGGACAUAAGUUACAUACUACCCUACGUGAUAGCUACGUAACAAACACAGAUGUAGAAGAUUCCCCAAUUAGGAGGGUAUAUAAACAGAAGCUAGGAACCAGGAACUCUCACAACGCUGAUCCGGCUGACGAAGCCACAUCUAGUGGUGAAACACGUACUGGUAUGUUUUCUUAUAGACAUUGUUCUUAAUUUUAUUUAUGUACUUUUUAAUACCAAUUAAUAAAUGUAUUUAAGCUUUUAUUUGGUUCCUGGCUUUAAAAAGAUUUAAAGGGGGAGUGUAGCCCUAUACCGACACAAUACGCUACUACAGAGCCACAGGGGCUCUGUGUUUGUAAGUACUCAAUUGGCACUUAUUUCCAUAUAUUCCUUAACCAUACUGUACUACCCUAUUGUGUGUUUAUAUACUUUCCCUUAGGACGGAACACACAUUCCAUAUAGGAGUGGGUCGCCUAAACGGACCCAGAAGCGUUCCACACUGGAGCUAGGUUUUAUAGCUCCUUGUUUGUGAGUGUUUUAUUUAUAAACUCCAUUUUAUCAUUGCUAUCUCUAUAUUUAUAAACUGCACCAUGUGGUAUUAUUUGUGUCUAUUUUAGGUCUGAAAAAUUCUAACUUUGUUAAACUACCAUAACCACUGUUAUUAAGGUAAACGUUUCGUAUUUUAAAGCGCUACACUUCUGAAUCUUUUAUAUCUUGUUGGUGUUUGUGGAGAAGUCGCACUUCUUGGUGUCAGCUGCUAUUAUUACAUAUACUGUUUGGAGAUUAUACUCUUAAAAUUUUUUUUUUAUUAUUUUUAUAUAAGCGCUAAUACCCUUUGUCCUUUUUCAACUAUUUUUAUCUGCUGUUCCUUUUUUCUAGGAGCUCCGUAUGUAUGAAGUGUACAAGUGUAAUAAAUGUUUUAAAUUGUAAUAAAUAUAUUUGGAACGUAGCUUGCCACGAGCUGGAACAGACGCCAUUCCUGGAAGCUCCGUGCGGCAGCAAAUUGCUGACUCGCACCUGCCAAAGGAGACAAACCAGUUCUUCUCCACCCGCACGAGUCACAGGCUAGUCAUACGACAAAUGCGCACAAACAGCGGCGCAGAUCCUACUACACUCCGGCCCUAGCUAGCUGGAAGUCACUCCUCAGCAGCCCUGAGGGACCGUACCAAGCAGACUGGCCUACCCUGCCUCAGACCAAGCACACGCUGGAAAUGGGGCGCCGUUCCCAAAAGCCUGGAGCUGGGUACAGCUUCCAUUACUCCAUCAGGGAAACGGUGGUCACAGGCAACCACAGCUUCCCAAACUGAUCAACCCUCCCACAUGGCCUCUACAGAUGGCUCUGCACCAACCACUAAACACAAUCUUCAAGAUAUCCACAAGAUGUCUGCUGCUGAUACUGCUGCCAUCAGAGCAGAUAUACAAAACAUCACAACUAGUCCGGGCUAUGGAGAAAGACAUAACAGAAAUACAUCCCGAUAUGUCUACCAUGCAAGGUACUAUACAACAACUUCAAUCAAACAAACAAACGCUGUCUGUUCAGAUGUCUGCAAUUGAAGACAAAAGCCGAUGCAAUCACAUUAAAAUCAGAGGCGUACCUGCCACCAUCACAACUGAAGAGCUACUACACUACUUGAGGCGCCUACUUGCAUCUGUCCUACCCCCGGCUGUGGCUACGAAGAUUGUCCUGGAUGGAGUAUAUCGUCUACCCUCCUCAUUUAAGUCCCCAGCUAAUCCUGUACGCGACAUCAUCCUGCGAUGCACCUCAUCCCAAGACAAGGGACACAUCAUGACAUCAUGACAAAACACCACUCACUUUUGAGGACUCUCAACUGUCCUUUUAUCAGGACCUCACCGGAGCCACACUACAAUGGCGCAAGUCUCUCGGUGAGAUCACACAACGUCUGUGAGUUGCUGGAGUCCCAUACAGGUGGGGAGCUGCACAAUCCAUGAUGGUGGUCCACACUGGAACUACUCACACAAUCUCCUUAGCGACAGAUACCUCAACGCUGCUCUCCACACUGGGACUUGCAGAGCCACUGCCAAGCAUGGCCCAGCAAGCAUUGACCAGCACCUGUGAAUCUUAUCCAGCUACAGUGACCCCCUUCAUCCCAAGGACUCUGGAGGGGAACAGUCCUGACACCUGACUGGGGCUUGAGCUAAAGCAGACCAUGGGGGUCCUGCAGAGUAUUUUGAAACCACCUUACCUUACUGUUAUUUUAUUGUUACAUUAAUUUUACUUUAUUUUAUCUUGUUACAACUAUUAUAGCAACUCGAUAACCUUGGCAGGCACCCUAACUCACCUCCCAUCAAUUGUGGGCAGUGGCAGAGUACUAGGCGGAGCAAGUCUCUAGAUGGCGCUUUAAGUGGAACCCUAGUAGUUGGCAGGGAAUACUUCCCCAUCCCCCUCGGCUCGGUUAGGGGCACCACUCACCGCAAAGGCAUAAACCAUUGCAACGCACAGGGUUAAUAUUUCGGAUGCUCCUCUUCUAGUUUGACCCGCCCUUAGCCUGGAGGAAUCCCUACUAUGGUACCUAAUGCCCUGCAUAUACAAAACUCUAGAUAACGAUAUAUAUCUCUUUAUCACCCUAUGUAACUCAAUCUACUUUUUGGACUCGCAUACCUCUAUAGCGUAUAGCGCUAAGCAACCUAGCCCAUAGGAAUUCAUGCCUACACACUCCUACUAACUCUUCAAAGAACGUUACAUCCUAGGUCUAGGCCACAGUACUUGCUUUAAAAAAAAAAAAAAAUAAGUGCAUAAGACAGAUAUUUAAGUGAAAGUUUGAACAUUGUAUUGCUUGAUUUGCCAAUAUGUUUGAUUUUCUCUAUUUGUUCAUUCAUGUGCAUAAUUCCUGCACUGCAAAAAUAAAGAAUUAUAAAAUAUAUAUAUAUAUAUACUUCCAAAGUAGUUUGUAUAGCCAUCGGUAGUAUUUCAUGCAGUUACUAUUCUGAAAUAGUCCUUCCUUUGGCUACAGCUUAUAAUUAUUGACUUUCAAUUUUCUGUAAAAAAUUUGAAAAUAUGUUCGUAUGGAUUUUUUUUUAAAUUAACUUUUAUUGAAAUAAUUCGUUAUGACUUCAUAGGAUUUGAAAAGUAAAACGUUUUGCUUUAUCUUUUAAUAUCCACAAUGAAUAUUUUUGCUCAUUAAAUUUAAAUUUCUGUCAACAGGUUACUAAUCCUACUCAGAAAAUAACGGGAAAUAUAGAG